GUGAUGAAAAGAAUAUUCUUGACCAAAAGAAUAUUCUACACUGUAGAACAUAAUUUUCAGCAAUAAAAUUGGGGAAAUAGUAAUUCCAAAACAGCUGUUGUUCAGAAGGUGGGUAUUGAUCUACCUCUGGGAGAAGCUUGAUUCUCAUCAAAGACACUGUCUGCUUGGCAAGGAAAUAACUCAAGGAGACAUGCAAAGAAAGGAUUUGUAUCAGUGACAUGUUUCUACCCACUAAGAGUGAGCAUUGCAAGAUGAUCUGGUCAUUCGUGAACCACUUGGCUUUAUGCUGUAAACAAAAAUUUAACCGUUGAAUCACAAAAACUGCCUGCAUCAUAAAACUAGUGUCUUCUACUGAUAUUUUUGUGAAUGUAUAUAUGCUUGACUUCACAGUCUUAUCACCUCAGAAAAAACAAACAGGCUAUUUAUCUGUGGUUUUGAGUUUAGUGAGCCUGUAACUCAUAUGUCCUAGUGGAUAAAUUGCACGUGGGUCAUCUGUGCAUCCUUGCACCAAAGAAAGCAAUAUACAUCUUGGUCUACACUAGUGAUAGUGUCACCAGCAGGAUGAGGGUCAUACUUCCCUUCUGUUUAGUAUAUCUGAAGUGUUAUGUCCAGUUUUGUGCCUCCCAGUAACAAGAAUUUUUUACAAGCUGGAUCAAGUCAAAUGGAGGCCAUCAGGACAGUCAGGUUUGGAGCACAUUCUACAAUGAGAAACUGAGGGAUCAGCCUUCAACCUUGCCUUCAGAAGCUUUGUUACCAUCUACAACUACCUUGUCAGAGGACACAGAGAAGAUAGAGCCAGAUUUCUGAGAGCUGCACAGCAAUAGAACAAAAAUUAACAGACACAGGGUGGCAUGUGGGAAAUUCUACUCAGAUAAAGGAAAAUGUAAGCAAAAAUGAAUGUUUGGGCUUUUUUUUGUUUUGUUUUGGUUUGUUGUUUUUUUUUUCCCCUCAUAAGCAUAGUCAAGCUCUGGAACAUGUUGCCCAGAGAGACUGUGAGAUCUCUGUCCUUGGAGAUGUUUAAGAUGUUACUGAACAUGGCCCUCAACAGCCUUAUCUGACCAGACAUGCUCUGAGCAGUGGAUUGGACUAAUUGAUUUCUGAAGUUCCCAUCCAACCUAUUUUUUUCUAAUUCCAUGAUAC
Molecule: long non-coding RNA, 1140 nt
Organism: Pezoporus occidentalis (night parrot)
Lineage: Eukaryota; Metazoa; Chordata; Aves; Psittaciformes; Psittacidae
Exons: 3
Source: RefSeq, a predicted model, not a curated record